GCGCUCGUAGCUCAGCUGGAUAGAGUACCUGGCUACGAACCAGGCGGUCAGAGGUUCGAAUCCUCUCGAGUGCGCCA
RNAcentral lists this transfer RNA (77 nucleotides) under Vibrio vulnificus. Its description in RNAcentral is "tRNA-Arg". It matches the Rfam family "tRNA". Rfam says of the family: Transfer RNA (tRNA) molecules are approximately 80 nucleotides in length. Their secondary structure includes four short double-helical elements and three loops (D, anti-codon, and T loops). Further hydrogen bonds mediate the characteristic L-shaped molecular structure. tRNAs have two regions of fundamental functional importance: the anti-codon, which is responsible for specific mRNA codon recognition, and the 3' end, to which the tRNAs corresponding amino acid is attached (by aminoacyl-tRNA synthetases). tRNAs cope with the degeneracy of the genetic code in two manners: having more than one tRNA (with a specific anti-codon) for a particular amino acid; and 'wobble' base-pairing, i.e. permitting non-standard base-pairing at the 3rd anti-codon position. The record is from RNAcentral. Lineage: Bacteria; Pseudomonadati; Pseudomonadota; Gammaproteobacteria; Vibrionales; Vibrionaceae.